ACACCGGCAGCUUAAGUGGUAGCCGCUUUUAUUGGGCCUAAAGCGUCCGUAGCCGGUCUGAUAAGCCUCUGGUGAAAUCCCGCAGCUUAACUGUGGGAAUUGCUGGAGAUACUAUCAUGACUCGAGGUCGGGAGAGGCUGGAGGUACUCCCAGGGUAGGGGUGAAAUCCUGUAAUCCUGGGAGGACCACCUGUGGCGAAGGCGUCCAGCUGGAACGAACCUGACGGUGAGGGACGAAAGCCAGGGGCGCGAACCGGAUUAGAUACCCGGGUAGUCCUGGCCGUAAACGAUGUGGACUUGGUGUUGGGAUGGCUUCGAGCUGCCCCAGUGCCGAAGGGAAGCUGUUAAGUCCACCGCCUGGGAAGUACGGCCGCAAGGCUGAAACUUAAAGGAAUUGGCGGGG
Molecule: ribosomal RNA, 402 nt
Filed under: uncultured bacterium
Lineage: Bacteria
Description: partial 16S ribosomal RNA
Rfam family: Archaeal small subunit ribosomal RNA
Source: RNAcentral